Xiphophorus couchianus (Monterrey platyfish) is the source of this 2726-nucleotide long non-coding RNA. RefSeq lists it as uncharacterized. The record is from RefSeq and is a predicted model, not a curated record. The transcript is spliced from 3 exons. NCBI's taxonomy places the organism in Eukaryota, Metazoa, Chordata, Actinopteri, Cyprinodontiformes, Poeciliidae.
UUUCCCGUUUUUCCCCAGAGCUGCAGCGAACAUGUCUGAACCUUAUUUUAUCUUCAGCAUUUAAUCUUUUGCCAUCCACGAAUAAACUUCGUUGAAGCAAUGCUAGUUGUCACAUCCUUGACGAGAACACUACAGUGAAAAAGCAAGAUUUCAAGUUGUCAAAAUGGCAACGAGCAGGAGGUCAUCUUUGUCCUCCAGUACAAAGACGUCUAAAUCUUCAGCCAGUGUAUUUCGAGCUAGAGCCAAAGCAGAGGCUGCCAAGGUAAGAGCAUUAUAUGCAAGCCACGAAGCUAAACUCAAACUGGAGAAGGCUGUCAAAGAGGCAGAAAAAGCUAAAAGAUGCUCAAAGUCAACUGGAAACUGUACAACUUGACACAGAGUUGGAAAUGUUAAAGUUUCAAAAAGAGGCUGCUGCAGCAGCAGCUGAAGCUCAAGUCUUAGAACAGGCUGAGGCAGUUCAAGUUUAGGAUGAAACCAGGAUGUCUGAUUCGGACAAUGGUGAAAAUUGGACGAAUUAGCGAGUUUUGUUCAGUCUAAAAUUCAGAUCAAGCUUCUCCACAGCAUGCUGAUUCACAUGCUAAUGACCUUCCAAAAGUGACACAGUGUAAAAACAGAGAAAUCUGAAAACGUUGAACCACGUGAACCAAUGUUUUCAUCCAAACCUCAUCCACAAUCUUACAGCAAAAAAGACAGCCAACCUUUUUAUUCUAAUUAUGUCCCAUUGGCUGCCAGGUCUAGAGAACCAGUAAACAGGAUAUUGACGUUUGAGCCGUUGGCUCAGUACAACUUUGUCAGUUCAGGUCUUUACCAAUUCGAUAAUAAGCCUGGAAAUUAUCGAGCCUGGUACUCUUCGUUUAACAGUGCUGUUAGUGAGGUUCGACUCAAGGCAACUCAGGAAUUGGACCUCAUGACUAAAUGGCUUGGAAAAGAGUCAAGUGAACAGUUCAGUUCAUGUUGGAGAUCCUCAAAUAGCUUUGAACAAAGCAUGGGGGAGACUAUGUGAGUUUUAUGCUGCUCCAGAGAUCAUUGAAAGGUCUCUGUUUCAAAGACUGGAAGGCUUCCCUAAAAUCUCAGCUAAAGAUAAUGUCAGGUUACGAGACUUUGGGGAUUUAUUGAUGGAGAUACAAGGAGCCAAAGAGGACGGAUAUCUCACUGGACUUGCAUACCUGGAUACAUCACAUGGAAUCAGCCCGAUAGCUUCCCUUUGCACUACACGAGAAAUGGAUCUCUGCAGGCUCAUGGUAUAAAGAACAAAACCAAGGUCGCUUCCCUCCCUUUGACUAUUUUUAUGACUUUGUUCACUACGAAGCAAAGAAAAGAAAUGACCCAAGUUUCAUAAGUCAAGAUAACACAGUCACGUUUGUCAAAUCAGAGAGAGGAAUUGACAUGACGCCGACCAAGCCCCUUUGCGGAAGUAGAGCUGUCCUCCGACAAGCUAACUGUUAUUAUGGCAAACUAACGGACCUCAAUUACCCGAGACAUAUUUUGUGUCAUUUUUGUCACACACAGAAACAUCUACCAGCUACGUGCAGCUAUGUUGCGCUUCGCCACCCGUUUGUUGAGACUGGGAUGAUAUGAAAUAAAUUUUCCGGUUUUUCCGUAAAGCUACUCUUAUGCUAAUCAUCUAAUGCGGAACCGCCCGCAGUGUUCAGUCUAUCUGCUCACCUGUAUAAAUACACCUGCAGCGCUCUUCCCCACUGAUUGCUCUGAACCGCCACAGGGGAGCAGCUCCGGGAGGAGAAAAGCUGCCGUACUCCAGGCAUCGUGACAGUCAUUUUAAGGAUGCUUAUUGGUCCCUCGAAAAACGACAUAGACCCAGACAUUAUCAUCAAUCAAUAGAAUCCUCCCAGCCGAAUUUGAAAACUGGACGUUAUCCUGCUAACACUUAGCUUUCGUCAACAACUCUGGUGGAAGUGAGAGCUCCAUGCAACGCAAGUAAUAACCCGGCCGGAACAUGGUGUGCUAAAUAAUAAAUUAUAACUUAAUGAAACGUCAAGGCAGAAAAAUUUUCCUCGAGGAAUUUUAAUAAUCGAGGUUCUCAAAUAACUCGAGGAAUCAUUUCAGCCCUAGUACAGAUCGAUAGCCGCUGCACAUAAGCUCAGCGUGGUUAGGCGUUGGAGACGAAGGGCUGCGUCCUUAAUAGCAGAUUUAGAGCAGCGGAGACAUCAGCGGCUUAUAGCCCAGUGUGGCUUAUAUAUAUACACGUUUCCAGUUUCUUUAAAAAAACUUUGUGGGUGUGGCGUAUAGUGAGGUGCGCUCUAUAGUUAGGAAAAUAUGGUUCCUGGAACAAUGAAUAUGAUAUUUAGCUAGUAACAAUGAAGGCUUUAUGAGAAACUCAGAAUUGUUGAGCAUUUUUCAGGGAGACCAAGUAAGAAAUCUUCCCAUAACAGCAUAAAUUGUGCUUCUAUGUUGUUAUGGAUAAAGUCACACAGAUUCUGCCAAAAAGCAUUAACGUUUUUAUUGGAACUGUGCUAAAUAGAUCAUGUUGGUAGUGAUAUUAUUUGAGAUUGAAGCAGUGUCUAUGAUGUAAUAUUAGGGUAUAUUAAGCAUAUCCUAUUAUUUCAGGUGAACAGUGACCUGCGCAGUACAGUUGAUAAAUCGUGGCUGCGCUGCAUUUGAUAACAGAUUGCCAUAUAACUUAUUAAUACGCAAAAAAGAACUUGCGGUGAUUUGUAUUUGUAAAUGUCUGUUUAAUUUAACUCCAAUAAAAACCUGUUUCACCUGUC